Molecule: ribosomal RNA, 768 nt
Filed under: uncultured Campylobacterota bacterium
Lineage: Bacteria; Pseudomonadati; Campylobacterota
Description: bacterial SSU rRNA
Rfam family: Bacterial small subunit ribosomal RNA
Source: RNAcentral
AGAGUUUGAUCCUGGCUCAGAGUGAACGCUGGCGGCGUGCCUAACACAUGCAAGUCGAACGAGAACGGAUUUAGUUUACUAAAUUGUCAGCUAAGUGGCGCACGGGUGAGUAAUAUAUAGUUAACCUGCCCCAAAGAAGAGAAUAAUUGUUGGAAACGACUUGUAACUCUCUAUAUGCCUUUAUUACAUAAGUAAGCAAGGGAAACAUUUAUGGCUUUGGGAUGGGACUGUACGGUAUCAGCUUGUUGGUGAGGUAAUGGCUCACCAAGGCUAUGACAUCUAACUGGUUUGAGUGGAUGAUCAGUCACACUGGAACUGAGACACGGUCCAGACUCCUACGGGAGGCAGCAGUGGGGAAUAUUGCACAAUGGAGGAAACUCUGAUGCAGCAACGCCGCGUGGAGGAUGACACAUUUCGGUGCGUAAACUCCUUUUAUAUAAGAAGAUAAUGACGGUGUUAUAUGAAUAAGCACCGGCUAACUCCGUGCCAGCAGCCGCGGUAAUACGGGGGGUGCAAGCGUUACUCGGAAUCACUGGGCGUAAAGAGAAUGUAGGCUGGUUAUUAAGUUGGAAGUGAAAUCCUAUGGCUCAACCAUAGAACUGCUUCCAAAACUGAUUACCUAGAAUAUGGGAGAGGUAGAUGGAAUUUCUGGUGUAGGGGUAAAAUCCGUAGAGAUCAGAAGGAAUACCGAUUGCGAAGGCGAUCUACUGGAACAUUAUUGACGCUGAGAUUCGAAAGCGUGGGGAGCAAACAGGAUUAGAUACACUG